UGGGGAAUAUUGCACAAUGGAGGGAACUCUGAUGCAGCGACGCCGCGUGAACGAAGAAGGCUUUCGAGUCGUAAAGCUCUUUUAUACGGGAAGAUAAUGAUGGUACCACUAGACAAAGCCCCGGCUAACUACGUGCCAGCAGCCGCGGUAAUACGUAGGGGGCUAGCGUUGUUCGGAUUCACUGGGCGUAAAGGGUUCGCAGGCGGAAAUGCAAGUCAGGUGUAAAAGGCAGUAGCUGAACUGCUGUAAGCAUUGGAAACUGCAUAUCUUGAUAAGAGGAGCGGUAAGUGGAAUUGUUUGGGUAGCGGUGAAAUGCGUAGAUAUUAAAACGAAUACCGGUGGCGUAGGCGACUUAGUCGAAUCAUUAUGACGCAGAGGAAAGAAAGGGUGGGUUGGAAACGGG
Molecule: ribosomal RNA, 403 nt
Filed under: Fusobacteriota bacterium
Lineage: Bacteria; Fusobacteriati; Fusobacteriota
Description: Fusobacteria bacterium partial 16S ribosomal RNA
Rfam family: Bacterial small subunit ribosomal RNA
Source: RNAcentral